Suricata suricatta (meerkat) is the source of this 2816-nucleotide long non-coding RNA. RefSeq lists it as uncharacterized. NCBI's taxonomy places the organism in Eukaryota, Metazoa, Chordata, Mammalia, Carnivora, Herpestidae. The record is from RefSeq and is a predicted model, not a curated record. The transcript has 2 exons.
GCAACAUAGGAAUUCUAAAAUCUGAACACCUAAACCAUUUUUUAAAAAGGUACCCUUCUGCUUCCUUUUACCUAACUUGAAUAUGCAUUCAGAAAAUAGAAGAUAAAGGAUGACCAAAAGCCUCAAAGUAAAAUGAGCCUUAAAACUCAGAUGAGACGUGAUGGUGGUAAAACAUCAAAAGUGAACGGGACGCCUAGAUUGGGGAAGAUAAACACUACGAUCCAGGAAUUGAAGGGUGUCAAGAAUUUAUCUCCAUGUACUUAUCUGCCUGCAGGAAGACUCAGAACACACUUAUCCUGUCUGUAAUAGAAGGCAUCCUGCUAAUGAGAAUGUUGUGUUACCCGUAGAAAGUGAACAGUGUGAACAAUAAGCAGCUGUAAACUAAGAGUAGAAAUCCUAACACUAGGGAGGAAUUUGUAGUGAGCAGCAGUGUUGAAGGGCAAAUGUAAACCUGAGGGUGACGGUCGGUCUUGGCUUUUAGAAAACAAAAGAGACUCGGAGAUCUAAUUUAUUAUUUUGCCUUUCUUUUGGUGAAGGACAGAAAAGUCCAUGACAGGUGGGCAACAAGUAUCAGGUUUGCUGUUUUAUUCCUUUGGUACAAAAGGGUUGCACAGCAGGCUGACAAAGCAGUCAUGCAUUUAUUAUUAAACAUUUUCUACCGACGAGGCACUGUGCAGGGUACUGUAACCCUACCUAGGUAGGUAGAUGUUUCUUCCACUGUAAAUCAUCGGGGUUUUGGUUUAAAACUGUUUCAUGUGAGUGAGCUGCUUCCCUCCAUCUGAGCAGUCCUGGGGGAGGUCACCUCUGAGAUUCCCGGAGCCGUAGUCCUCCUACCAGGGUGUUGUCACUGGGGGAAAGGAAGACUCAGCUCAGAGAGCUGACCAGCUCUCCAGCAAUCUUCAGAGACUUAGGCAUAUACAUAUUAAGCAAACAUGUGUUAAUAGUUGACACUUGUGGUUGCUGUUUGCGGGCACUGUUGGAAGCGCUUUACCGCGGAUUAACUCUUAGUCCUCACAGCAACCAUUUGAGGUAGGUACAUACCCCAGUUUUACAUGUACUGCACUGAAACUUGCCUCCCUCCCACUGGAUGUAGACAUGGUUUUUUAUGGCUACAUACUGUUCCAUUGCAUGAAUAUACUGUAAUUUAUUUAACCAACCCCUUCUUGAUGGAAAAUAAGUUCUUUCCAAUUUUUUAAUUAUAGUUAUUAACAUUCUUACCCAUAUAUUUUACUGCCUGUGUGGAUAUUUCUGUAGAAUAAAUAGUAGAAGUAGAUUUGUUGGGUCAGAGAAUGUGCACAUUUUAACAUUUUGAGAGGUAUCACCAAAAAGAUGAUACCAAUUUACAACUCCAUCAACAGAGUGCCUGUUUGCCUACACUCCCACUGACUCCGAAUCCUUAAAUAUUUUUACCAUUCUGGUGGGCAAAAUUUGUCUUUCUUUUUGUUAAUAAGGAGGAACAUGUUUGUAUGUUUAUUGGCCAUUUGCAUUUCUUAUGAACUGCCUUUGCCCAUUUUUUUUUAUUAAUAAAUGACUACCAUCUCAUUUUACAAAACUUACACAACUAUAAGAGCAAAGAGACCCUUUUUUCCUAGUACUUCCAACCUCAUUCCACUGUCUUGUUUCAUAAACAUCCAUUUAGUUCCCUUUCCAUACAUUUCCAUAUGAAUAUACAUACACAUAUAAAUGCUAUUUUUACAUAAAUAAGGUCAUGUAUAUGUAUUGUUCUGUAACAUUUAAAAAUUUUUUGGUCUCAAAAACAGAUCCUGAGGUCUUUAAAUUUCUUUAACGGUUGAUUUGAAUAGGAUCUAGUACUAUGAAAAUCCCGUUAUUUAACUCUUCCCUAAUUUUUUCUCUUGCUGUUAUCCUGCCAAAGUAAACAUCUUCAUACAUUUUUGUGCAUGUGUGUGAAUUUCUUCUGGAUGGAGUUGUAUGAGGUGGAUGAUUGGGUCAAAAGAUGUGCUUUCUGAUAGACCCAUCUUAGCUUUCCCAAAGGUCUUCAUAACUUUUUAUUUUUCACUAAAUGUAUGGAAAGUGCUCAUUUCCCCACAUAGCCUUACCUACACUUAAUUUUUAUCUGAUGGGCAAAAAAAAAAUGAUUUUGUAUUUCCCUGAUUAAUAGUGAAGUUGAGGUUAUUUUCAUGUUUAUUGGCCAUUCUAUUGUGGAUUGUUUGUUCAUCUCCUUUACCUAUAAAAGCUUUUCCAUUGGGUUAUGUGUGGAUAUAUGUUGUUGGGUCUUUUGUUGUUGUUCAGCAUCUCUUUCCCCAUCCUCUGGUAACAGAAUCCUUAUUUAUUGUGGGGAACCCAUUCCCUGUGGCUCAGAUGAGUGCAUGACCAGGUCUGGCCUUCCUGAGUCCUGCAGCUUCUUAGCCACAGUGAUUAAAGAAUGGGCAUCUAACUCAAGCCAGGCUAAAGCAAGCUCUCAACAGAACUUCUGCUGGAACUAUUGGAAAGAAAGCUCUACAGAGAUCCCACGAACUAAGGACUGUAAGCCUCGAUUUACACCAUGUGGAGAGAGUCUGAGGAGAAAUUCAGAGGCUAGCAGAAAGGAAUGAGAACUAAGUUCCGAUGUCCUUUUCCUGGAGGCCCUAGAUCCAGCUGUGCCUAAAGCCUGCCCUACCUCUGAACUUUGUGAGCCAAUAAAGUCCCUUUCUUGUUUAAAAUAACUGAAUUGGGUUUCUGUCCUGAUUAAUAUAGGUUAUUUGUAUUUUCUUAUUGAUUUGUAGAAAAGCUUUGUAAUUCUAAAUUCUGGGCUUAACACUAUGCAUUAUAUAGGUUAAUAAAAUUAGCAUGGCCUUCCAUGACUUGGCCUCUGUCAA